GACGAACGCUGGCGGCGUGCUUAACACAUGCAAGUCGAACGGAAAGGCCCUGCUUGCAGGGUGCUCGAGUGGCGAACGGGUGAGUAACACGUGGGUGAUCUGCCCCUUAUUUUGGGAUAAGCCUGGGAAACUGGGUCUAAUACUGGAUAGGACCAUGCUGUAGGUGGUGUGGUGGAAAGAUUAGUUUCGGUAAGGGAUGAGCUCGCGGCCUAUCAGCUUGUUGGUGGGGUAAUGGCCUACCAAGGCGUCGACGGGUAGCCGGCCUGAGAGGGUGGACGGCCACAUUGGGACUGAGAUACGGCCCAGACUCCUACGGGAGGCAGCAGUGGGGAAUAUUGCACAAUGGGCGCAAGCCUGAUGCAGCGACGCCGCGUGGGGGAUGACGGCCUUCGGGUUGUAAACUCCUUUUAGCCAUGACGAAGCCCUUGUGGUGACGGUAGUGGUAGAAGAAGCACCGGCUAACUACGUG
Molecule: ribosomal RNA, 469 nt
Filed under: uncultured bacterium
Lineage: Bacteria
Description: partial 16S ribosomal RNA
Rfam family: Bacterial small subunit ribosomal RNA
Source: RNAcentral